AGCUUUGGAGUUUGUGAGGAAUGUUUGUUUGUGGUGCAAGAGGAGUUGGAGGCUA
This 55-nucleotide transfer RNA is filed under the name Oxyuris equi. Its description in RNAcentral is "tRNA-His". The record is from RNAcentral. Lineage: Eukaryota; Metazoa; Nematoda; Chromadorea; Rhabditida; Oxyuridae.